RNAcentral lists this ribosomal RNA (497 nucleotides) under uncultured bacterium. Its description in RNAcentral is "partial 16S ribosomal RNA". It matches the Rfam family "Bacterial small subunit ribosomal RNA", at positions 28 to 507 of the family's 1533-position model. The record is from RNAcentral.
GAUGAACGCUGGCGGCGUGCCUAAUACAUGCAAGUCGAGCGAACGGACGAGAAGCUUGCUUCUCUGAUGUUAGCGGCGGACGGGUGAGUAACACGUGGAUAACCUACCUAUAAGACUGGGAUAACUUCGGGAAACCGGAGCUAAUACCGGAUAAUAUUUUGAACCGCAUGGUUCAAAAGUGAAAGACGGUCUUGCUGUCACUUCUAGAUGGAUCCGCGCUGCAUUAGCUAGUUGGUAAGGUAACGGCUUACCAAGGCAACGAUGCAUAGCCGACCUGAGAGGGUGAUCGGCCACACUGGAACUGAGACACGGUCCAGACUCCAACGGGAGGCAGCAGUAGGGAAUCUUCCGCAAUGGGCGAAAGCCUGACGGAGCAACGCCGCGUGAGUGAUGAAGGUCUUCGGAUCGUAAAACUCUGUUAUUAGGGAAGAACAUAUGUGUAAGUAACUGUGCACAUCUUGACGGUACCUAAUCAGAAAGCCACGGCUAACUACGUG